AUGCCGCGUGAGUGAUGAAGGCCCUAGGGUUGUAAAGCUCUUUUGUGCGGGAAGAUAAUGACGGUACCGCAAGAAUAAGCCCCGGCUAACUUCGUGCCAGCAGCCGCGGUAAUACGAAGGGGGCUAGCGUUGCUCGGAAUCACUGGGCGUAAAGGGUGCGUAGGCGGGUCUUUAAGUCAGGGGUGAAAUCCUGGAGCUCAACUCCAGAACUGCCUUUGAUACUGAAGAUCUUGAGUUCGGGAGAGGUGAGUGGAACUGCGAGUGUAGAGGUGAAAUUCGUAGAUAUUCGCAAGAACACCAGUGGCGAAGGCGGCUCACUGGCCCGAUACUGACGCUGAGGCACGAAAGCGUGGGGAGCAAACAGGAUUAGAUACCCUGGUAGUCCACGCCGUGAAAC
Molecule: ribosomal RNA, 397 nt
Filed under: uncultured Bradyrhizobium sp.
Lineage: Bacteria; Pseudomonadati; Pseudomonadota; Alphaproteobacteria; Hyphomicrobiales; Nitrobacteraceae
Description: bacterial SSU rRNA
Rfam family: Bacterial small subunit ribosomal RNA
Source: RNAcentral